UCUAAUAUGGCAGAUUAGUGCCAUGGAUUUAAGCUCCAUUAAUAAAGAUUAUCUUUUGUUAGAA
This 64-nucleotide transfer RNA is filed under the name Neoneuromus fenestralis. RNAcentral describes it as "tRNA-Leu". The record is from RNAcentral. Lineage: Eukaryota; Metazoa; Arthropoda; Insecta; Megaloptera; Corydalidae.